Molecule: non-coding RNA, 1276 nt
Organism: Sus scrofa (pig)
Lineage: Eukaryota; Metazoa; Chordata; Mammalia; Artiodactyla; Suidae
Source: RefSeq, a predicted model, not a curated record
AAAAUCUUCACUAAACAGGACAGAAUAUAUAUUACUAUCAAUUUACAAAGAAUUCCCAAAUAGCUCAAAAACAAUGAACAGGGCUAGAAUUGGGCAGCCAGGUAAGGUAAGGUUUGCUUUACAUGAUGCAUAUACUUCCAUUGAAACACGUUUUUUUUUUUUCUUUUUUUUAAACAGGCCUUUGAUGUAGUUUUGAGCAUUAUACAGUCAAAAAAUAAACAGGCAGUUCGAAAUAAACAAUUCGAUAGUCCCACAUGUAAAAGAUUUAUGAAUGAACAGAAUGUUCUUUUCUAUGCUAUUUCAGAUUCUGGGCAGUAGUCUCUGUGCCGAACAUCCCUGUAGGUCUGGUAGAAGGCAAACACAGAGAAGCCUAUCAAAUCAGAGAAAAUGAGCUUAAAAUACUUCCACCCUGGACUUCAGACCACCCUUGUUCUCUUAGGUCCCACAGCAGAAGCUGCCUUGCCUUUGGCCUGGGGCAGGGAUUAGGAGUAGGAGGAUGAGAACCCUUUGGCCUCAGCCUACCAUCUCUAAAAUGUCUCAUAUUUACACUUUCAAAAUCCCAAUGGUGUCCAAAUGAAGUUGAACCACAAACGGACUGAAGGAAGAAAAUUUUCAUUACACUGCUUUCAACGUAUCAUUUCCAAUUACAACUGCUUAGAAUUUAAAAAAAAAAAUUGGUAUUUUUUGAACUCCUGAAAUCUUACAAAUAACAUUAUAUUGCUCUAUGCACCGGGUUUGUACGUAUUAAACGCGUUAAUUUGUAGGACAUAACACACUCUUCCUUCAAGCGCUGCAUUUUUCUUUUCUUUUUCUGUUAAUCAGGGAGGUCAUUCCAAGCGGCCUUGCCUCUCCCAGAACUGAUAGGUCUUACCGUGGCCCUAGGCCAAGGCCAGUUUCCCUGGCAAAUCGCUAGAGAAGACAUCUGUUUGCCGAAGCCUCUUUUAAAAGUCCUUUGAGUGCACGGCCGGUGACACCCGAGGGGCAGCACCCCCACCCUUCCGGAUCAGGAGGGUGGGCGGCCGGGCGCAGGGGGUCACAAUGGCCCGCGUGGCUCCACUGGGCGGCGGCUGCCAGGACAUUUCUCCAGCCUAUGCUGUUGCUGAACUGGUUGUCUGGAAAAACUGUGACAAAGAAGAUUUCAGAUUAGAGGGCUACCCAUUGGUCCAAGGACUGCCCUGUCUACUUAUGGUCCCUGUUGCCAAGGUCUUGCCCAGCUGGACUUAAAUGCAACCACUGGUUGCACCUGCAGCAUACGCCACAGCCACAGCAAUCCCAG